RNAcentral lists this non-coding RNA (218 nucleotides) under Paraprevotella clara. The record is from RNAcentral. RNAcentral also lists the same sequence under 1 other name. Lineage: Bacteria; Pseudomonadati; Bacteroidota; Bacteroidia; Bacteroidales; Prevotellaceae.
AAUAACUUUGCAACGUUUUGUUCCGCCCGGCCUAUGGGAAAGCCCUUUCAGGCCGGCGGAUGAAAAGGGAAUCGGGUGGAAAUCCCGGACAGUCCCGCUGCUGUGAACUCAUUGUGCGGUUUGUUUCAAACCUCAAGCCACUUCCUUAUAUAUAAUUAAGGUGGGAAGGCCAACAAGCCGGAGUAAGUCAGAAGACCUGCAAAACGUAGUCAUGCCGG